Rhagoletis zephyria (snowberry fruit fly) is the source of this 93-nucleotide long non-coding RNA. RefSeq lists it as uncharacterized. Lineage: Eukaryota; Metazoa; Arthropoda; Insecta; Diptera; Tephritidae. The record is from RefSeq and is a predicted model, not a curated record.
GGCACUUACACAUCGGUUCGUGUUUGGCCGAGCUUCUCCUCCGAUUUGUGGCGUGCGCCUUGAUGAAGUCACGCAAAGGGGAGAGACCUACAG